Molecule: ribosomal RNA, 378 nt
Filed under: Triticum aestivum (bread wheat)
Lineage: Eukaryota; Viridiplantae; Streptophyta; Magnoliopsida; Poales; Poaceae
Description: partial small subunit ribosomal RNA
Source: RNAcentral
AUGGCUCAUAAUAGAGAUAAUGAUACUCAGUCGGGAAACAAUGUUGCGGAUGAUAUGAGUGAGGAUGACUUAUCCUCUGAUGCAUCACCUUUUUCUUCGGGGAAUUCAAAUGGUAGUCCGGUCGUUUUCAAUAUCACCGAUAGGGACAUGGACGACGAAAUUAUAACAGUUCAGAGUUCACCCCCUGAAGAUAGCCCACCCGAUAAGCGAAAAUCACUUUUGGAGAAUAAGAAGAAGAAGAAGAAGAGAAAGGUUACAGAGGACGAGGAUAACAAAAUGGAGGAGGAAUCAGAUGGGAAGGAGGACAACGCAGGCGAGGAGGAAGAGGAGGACAGUGAGGAGGAGGAGGAGGACAGUGAGGAGGAGGAGGAUGAGUGA